Molecule: long non-coding RNA, 235 nt
Filed under: Olea europaea (common olive)
Lineage: Eukaryota; Viridiplantae; Streptophyta; Magnoliopsida; Lamiales; Oleaceae
Description: long non-coding RNA (OEUR_LNC013431)
Source: RNAcentral
UUUAAUAUGAGCACUAAUUCAUGCAUGCAUGUAGGGGUCAAAUCAACACCAAUUGAUACCAUAAUUAUUCUUCAAGUCAUUCCACUUUUAAGUUAAUGCAAUGUAGUCCUUGAGUUCCUCCAUUGUGCAAUCAACGUCCUCUUCAAUUUUUCAAGUGUUGAAUUUGAUCUUCAAUAUUGCAUCCACUAGCCAAUUUGUUCUUCAUCCUUUUCCAUUUGCUCCAAACGAGUCCAUC